CAGGAAAUGUAUACAAGCACUCCUUGGUCAUGUUCAGGUGCGGGAGCAGUAUGAUGAUGUGUUGAGCUCUGGCCAGCAGGCCUUCCUAUUGGAGGAGACAAAUCAGAGUCCAGACAUGUUCCAGACGUGUAGGUAGUCUGCCUCCAGCGGGGAAGGCCUCUGUCAGCCUGGACUAUGUGACGGACAAGUUGAAAGGUGUGUUAGUGCUGGGCUGGAACAAAAACAUCAUAAUCUGUGGGUCUCUUUCUCCUCCUUUCUUCUCUCCCUGUCUCUCUCCUUCUUCCUCCAUCCCUCACCCCAUCUCUCUCUAAGUGGUAGUGUAGCCAGAACAGUAGGUAAAGGCGGAUUAUCCACUCAUCAGGUAUCCCAUUAACCGGCCUCUUCUUACGAAUGACGGGGAUUUGGGCAUGGUCCGGGAAGAGCAGAAUGUCUUUUGCUACCGACUCAUUGAAAAAAAAUCCUUAACCAGAUCAAAAUCUCAGUGGACACAGAGAGCUUAGUGACCUGGCAAGCAGCCUGUUGAGAACGAGCUGAGCUUCAGUCUCAAGCCUGCAGAGGACACUGGGACCUGAGCCCUAGGACCAUGCCUCAGGACUACCUGGUAUGAUGACUCCUUGCUGUCCCCAGUCCACCUGGCCGUGCUGCUGCUCCAGUUUCAACUGUUCUGCCUGCGGCUAUGGAACCCUGACCUGUUCACCGGACGUGCUUGUUGCACCCUCGACAACUACUAUGAUUAUUAUUAUUUGACCAUGCUGGUCAUUUAUGAACAUUUUAACAUCUUGACCAUGUUCUGUUAUAAUAUCCACCCUGCACAGCCAGAAGAGGACUGGCCACCCCUCAUAGCCUGGUUCCUCUCUAGGUUUCUUCCUAGGUUUUUGGCCUUUCUAGGGAGUUUUUCCUAGGGAGUUUUUCCUAGCCACCGUGCUUCUUUCACAUGCAUUGCUUGCUGUUUGGGGUUUUAGGCUGGGUUUCUGUACAGCACUUUGAGAUAUCAGCUGAUGUACGAAGGGCUAUAUAAAUAAAUUUGAUUUGAUUUGAUUUGAUUCAAAAUGUACACUGAAGAUGGAUGUGGAGGACCAAGCUGAUAUGGCUGUGUGAUGCUCAGCGUCAAAGUUUAGCACAAAGAGUAAGACACGUGAAAGUAACAGUAAGCACUGUCUAAAUGUUUUUACAAAUAUUAUUAUUAUUGUUGGGAAGGGCCUGUAAGUAAGCAUUUCACUGUUAGUCUACAGCUGUUUAGGAAGCAUGUGUAAAUUAAAAUGUUAUUUGAAAUGAAGUCUGUUUGGUUUAGAAAGAAAUUCAAAUCAAAUCAAAUGUGUCAUAUACUCUGAAAACCGUGACAUGCUUACUUACAACAAAGAAAAUAGAGUUAGGAAAAUAUUUACUAAAUAAACAAAAGUUUUGAAAAAAGUUACAAUAACAAGGCUAUAUACAGGAAGUACCGGUACAGAGUCAAUGUGCGAGUACAGGUUAGUCGAGGUAAUUUGUACAUGUAGGUAGGGGUAAAGUGACUAUGCAUAGAUGAUAAACAGCGAGCAGCAGCAGUGUAAAAACAAAGGGGGGGUGUCAUUGGCAAAUAGUCCGGGUGGCCAUUUGAUUAAUUGUUCAGCAGUCUUACGGCUUGGGGGUAGAAGCUGUUAAGGAGCCUUUUGGACCUAGACUUGGUGCUCCGGUACUGCUUGCCAUGUGGCAGCAGAGAGAACAGUCUAUGUGUUGCCGCUUUGCUUGUUUGAUGGUUCGUCUGAGGGCAUAGCGGGAUUUCUUAUAAGCAUCCGGAAUAGUGCCCCACUCCUUGAAAGCGGCUGAUCUAGCCUUUAGCUCAGUGUGGAUGUUGACUGGCAGGUUACCAGGAGGAGAGAAUGCCAAGAGUGUGCAAAGCUGUCAUCAAGGCAAAGGGUGGCUACUUUGAAGAGUCUCAAAUAUAAAAUAUAUUUAGAUUUGUUUAACACUUUUUUGCUUACCACAUGAUUCCAUAUGUG
This 1979-nucleotide long non-coding RNA is filed under the name Salmo salar (Atlantic salmon). RNAcentral describes it as "lncRNA (ENSSSAG00000110956.1)". The record is from RNAcentral. Lineage: Eukaryota; Metazoa; Chordata; Actinopteri; Salmoniformes; Salmonidae.